RNAcentral lists this ribosomal RNA (305 nucleotides) under Lactiplantibacillus plantarum. RNAcentral describes it as "bacterial SSU rRNA". It matches the Rfam family "Bacterial small subunit ribosomal RNA", at positions 13 to 290 of the family's 1533-position model. The record is from RNAcentral. Lineage: Bacteria; Bacillati; Bacillota; Bacilli; Lactobacillales; Lactobacillaceae.
UUGAUCCUGGCUCAGGACGAACGCUGGCGGCGUGCCUAAUACAUGCAAGUCGAACGAACUCUGGUAUUGAUUGGUGCUUGCAUCAUGAUUUACAUUUGAGUGAGUGGCGAACUGGUGAGUAACACGUGGGAAACCUGCCCAGAAGCGGGGGAUAACACCUGGAAACAGAUGCUAAUACCGCAUAACAACUUGGACCGCAUGGUCCGAGUUUGAAAGAUGGCUUCGGCUAUCACUUUUGGAUGGUCCCGCGGCGUAUUAGCUAGAUGGUGGGGUAACGGCUCACCAUGGCAAUGAUACGUAGCCGA